Molecule: transfer RNA, 73 nt
Filed under: Pseudomonas karstica
Lineage: Bacteria; Pseudomonadati; Pseudomonadota; Gammaproteobacteria; Pseudomonadales; Pseudomonadaceae
Description: tRNA-Thr
Rfam family: tRNA
About the family: Transfer RNA (tRNA) molecules are approximately 80 nucleotides in length.
Source: RNAcentral
GCCCGUGUAGCUCAGUUGGUAGAGCAGCGCAUUCGUAACGCGAAGGUCGCAGGUUCGACUCCUGUCUCGGGCA